Molecule: transfer RNA, 73 nt
Filed under: Ktedonobacteraceae bacterium
Lineage: Bacteria; Bacillati; Chloroflexota; Ktedonobacteria; Ktedonobacterales; Ktedonobacteraceae
Description: tRNA-Trp
Rfam family: tRNA
About the family: Transfer RNA (tRNA) molecules are approximately 80 nucleotides in length. Their secondary structure includes four short double-helical elements and three loops (D, anti-codon, and T loops).
Source: RNAcentral
AGGGGCGUAGCUCAACUGGCAGAGCACCCGUCUCCAAAACGGGUGGUUGGGGGUUCGAUUCCUCUCGCCCCUG